GAUGAACGCUAGCUACAGGCUUAACACAUGCAAGUCGUGGGGCAGCGGAUACUUAGCUUGCUAAGUAUGCCGGCGACCGGCGCACGGGUGAGUAACGCGUACCGAACCUGCCCAUCACACAGGGAUAGGCUUGCGAAAGCAAGAUUAAUACCUGAUGGUCUCAGUUGUAUGCAUGUAUGAUUGAGUAAAGCCUUCGGGCGGUGAUGGAUGGCGGUGCGUCCCAUUAGGAAGUUGGCGGGGUAACGGCUCACCAAUCCUUCGAUGGGUAGGGGUUCUGAGAGGAAGGUCCCCCGCAUUGGAACUGAGAUACGGUCCAAACUCCUACGGGAGGCAGCAGUGAGGAAUAUUGGUCAAUGGGCGAGAGCCUGAACCAGCCAAGUAGCGUGCGGGAUGAAGGCCCUUGUGGUCGUAAACCGCUUUUAUCAGUGAAUAAAGUGCAUCACGUGUGGUGUCAUUGCAGGUAGCUGAAGAAAAAGGACCGGCUAAUUCCGUGCCAGCAGCCGCGGUAAUACGGAAGGUCCGGGCGUUAUCCGGAAUUAUUGGGUUUAAAGGGAGCGCAGGCGGGAGUGUAAGUCAGCUGUUAAAUAUCAGGGCCCAACUCUGUUAUGCAGUUGAAACUAUAUUUCUUGAGUACGCACAGGGAUGGCGGAAUUCAGGGUGUAGCGGUGAAAUGCUUAGAUAUCCUGAAGAACUCCGAUCGCGAAGGCAGCCAUCCGGAGCGUAACUGACGCUGAGGCUCGAAGGUGCGGGUAUCGAACAGGAUUAGAUACCCUGGUAGUCCGCACGGUAAACGAUGAAUACUCGCAGUUCGGCCGUUUAGGUCGAGUUGUCCAGCGAAAGCGUUAAGUAUUCCACCUGGGGAGUACGCCGGCAACGGUGAAACUCAAAGGAAUUGACGGGGGCCCGCACAAGCGGAGGAACAUGUGGUUUAAUUCGAUGAUACGCGAGGAACCUUACCCGGGCUUGAACCAAGAGUGACGAGUGCAGAGAUGCGCUUAUUCUUCGU
This 1006-nucleotide ribosomal RNA is filed under the name Alloprevotella tannerae. RNAcentral's name for it is "bacterial SSU rRNA". It matches the Rfam family "Bacterial small subunit ribosomal RNA", at positions 28 to 1022 of the family's 1533-position model. Lineage: Bacteria; Pseudomonadati; Bacteroidota; Bacteroidia; Bacteroidales; Prevotellaceae. The record is from RNAcentral.